This 378-nucleotide ribosomal RNA is filed under the name uncultured archaeon. RNAcentral describes it as "bacterial SSU rRNA". It matches the Rfam family "Archaeal small subunit ribosomal RNA", at positions 691 to 1068 of the family's 1478-position model. The record is from RNAcentral.
CCGACGGUGAGAGGUGAAAGCUGGGGGAGCAAACCGGAUUAGAUACCCGGGUAGUCCCAGCCGUAAACGAUGUGCGUUAGGUGUAUCGGUGACCACGAGUCACCGAGGUGCCGAAGAGAAAUCGUGAAACGUACCGCCUGGGAGGUACGGUCGCAAGGCUGAAACUUAAAGGAAUUGGCGGGGGAGCACCACAACAGGUGGAGCCUGCGGUUUAAUCGGACUCAACGCCGGGAAACUCACCAGAUAAGACAGCUGAAUGAUAGUCGGGCUGAAGACUCUACUUGACUAGCUGAGAGGAGGUGCAUGGCCGUCGUCAGUUCGUACUGUGAAGCAUCCUGUUAAGUCAGGCAACGAGCGAGACCCACGCCAACAGUUGCU